Molecule: signal recognition particle RNA, 258 nt
Filed under: Microcaldota archaeon
Lineage: Archaea; Nanobdellati; Microcaldota
Description: signal recognition particle sRNA large type
Rfam family: Bacterial large signal recognition particle RNA
About the family: The signal recognition particle (SRP) is a universally conserved ribonucleoprotein involved in the co-translational targeting of proteins to membranes. Archaeal SRP consists of a 7S RNA and homologues of the eukaryotic SRP19 and SRP54 proteins.
Source: RNAcentral
AUGGGCUAGAUUGGGGCCAGGGGUCCCAGCACCGUACAUCCCCUUUAGACGGGUCGAAGACCCGGGGCGUUAUAUAAUUCUAAGAUGCCUUCUGUUUUAAGCGUCGAUGCUCUGCCUCAUAUGGCAGUCUUUACGCAUCAACCGAGCCAGAUCGAAAGAAGCAACUCUAAAUGCAUAAAACUGUGCUUGUGAGAUACAGAGUGGAGCUGAUGGCAGAAGCUCCUUCUUAGUGUUACUAUGGCCAACCGGGAUGCCCAU